GUCUUCAUUUUACACUUUAAUUCCAUGGUACUGCAUGCAGGGAUGGGAUCUUUGUUUUUUUUACUGGCAUGAAAACAUGGCCACCUUUAAACAAGUAUUGUCAUCUUUCUCAAUGCAAAGACUAAACAGAGUUCCUCCUGCUGACAGAAGAAGAUGAUGAAGAAUGAGAAAAAAGAGAAGACGGUGAUGAAGAAGUGGACUAAGCAGGAGGAGUAGUAGAAAGAGAAGAACAAGAACGAGAAGAAAGAAAGAGGAGUGAGCGGAAGAAGGAGAAGAACAUGAAGGAAGAGAAAAUGAUGAGAAGAACGAGAAGGUGUUUCUUUAUGGAGAGUGUUUAUUCAUGGAUGUGCUACUAAUCAAAGAAUAGGUGAUGUUGGUUUUGUCAUUUCCAACACAAUCUAUAAGUGCAUCCAGAAGGUCGAGGUCAUCUCUGAAAGGAUUCUUCAUGCAACAUUCCAUGGAGUCCCAGGCUUCCCAUCACUGUUGUGUACACUCCAACAGACUGUGGUCCAUCAACAGCUAAGAAUGACUUCUCUACUUCUCUUGCAGAACAUUUAGAGUAAGUCAAGAGACAUGAUAUCAAUCUUGUUAUCUGUUAUUUCAAUGGCAGAAUAGGUGCAGACAUCAAACACACCCUGAAGGCACUGUUACCUUGCCCAGACAAAUAAUAAUGCUAAUAGAUAAGGUUAACUUGUGCAUGGAACUCAACCUUCGUCCAGUACAGUCAAGAUUUCCCCAUCCACAUCAGCCUGACCUCAUACUAAUCAACAGUAAGUGGGUCAAUUCCCUGCGUAACCGUCGGGCCUACAACUCCGUUGAACCGGACUCUGAUCUCCACAUCCAUCUCCUUCCAAGUCUAAGAACUAAUAAGAAGAAGAUAUGCAAGAGACCAAAGUACAAAGGGGGAGAAGUUGCAGAACCAAGGAUGAAUUCCAGCUUGAAUUUUCAAAAGGCUUUGAAUCACUUGCACUGGAAGACCUAUCUGUAGAUUUGUCAGAGCAGUACGAGUCAUUUGAAACCACAGUAAGAGACGUGGCGGAGAACGUUUUUGGCAAGCAGGAAACCCAUGGCUUGCCCAGCUGGUUGACUGAGACCACCAAACUCAAAAUACAAAAAGAUGAGGCAAAGAAGAGAUUCUAAAGAACAAAGUCGCCUCAAGCCAGAGCAGAGUUGGAGGAACAUGAAGGCCAGACUCACUGACUCUUACGAAGUAGACACGACUGCUGUGCUUGACAAACCAAUGGAAGAUCUGUGUUCAUCUGACGAGAGAGGACACUAAACAACCACUUGGAAUAUAAACCAUUCAUUGUCUGGGAGGAACACAUGGGCCAAUGUCAAAGUGAAACUGAGGAAUGGCGAGCCACCCAAGAAGGAAAAAUAUAUUUUUGAGGAGUGGAAAAUCUAUUUCAGCUGAUUUCUGAACAAUGAUAGUGGCUUAAUUACAUCCGACCUGGUGUACCUCCUCCGGCAAGAAAAGACCUUUCCAUCAGUAGGUAAAUGUGCUAAUUGUGUCAAAGUGCGUUCAGUACCUUGAAGGUAGAAAAGAACGAUACAAGUUUCACCCAUUUACCAUUCCAUUCAAGAAGAAGUAGUAGUAGUGCCUACUUCUCCUUCUUCUCCUCCAGGAAAAGGAGAAGUCGGCCCUACUUCGACUAAUCCUUCUCCUUUGCAGAAGAAGUAGUAGAAGAGGAGGCGCAGAAAGAGAAAGAAAUUGCAUGAUCAUUUGAUUACAUGAUGGCGUGUGUUGUUCCUGUCACAAUAUGGAGGAGGUCAUGUGCUGUGUGUGUGUGGGCGUGUCUGACCAGGAGUCAUGGAGUGAUGUUGCCUUAUGUCAUUGAAUGAAUCAGGUUAAGUCAGAGUGAAGCAUGCUGGGAUACGCUCCUGUUUUUUCUUGAAAUACUGACCACCUGAAAGUGACUUCUUCGUUCCGACACGACCUCUCGAGCGUGUCGCUCAUCGCCUUGAUGACGUCAUCAUUUCAUCUCUCGUUGAAAGUCAAAGUUUUCAUGGUUAAAACAAUUUCACAUCUUUGAUGCUCAAAAUCAAUGGUGUCCUCAUGUUGACAUAUAAUGUAUACCUUAAAUCAGGGGUCACCAACCUUUUUGAAACCAAGGGCUACUUCUUGAGUACUGAUUAAUGCGAAGGGCUACCAGUUUGAUACACACUUAAAUAAAUUAAGGAUUAAGGAUCGGAAAUCUAAAGGGAACGUCCUUUCGAAUGGAAUGCAAAGUGCCUGUUUUGUGGACAGAUGGACCAGUUAACAUACUUGGUGUUGUUGUCCCAGAAAAUCUGGAAGAUCUAGGCUCAGUAAAUUAUGAUAAUCGACUAAGAAAGCUGGACAAAAUUAUGCAAUUAUGGAAAGGGAAAUCCCUAACCUUGUAUGGUAAAAUGUCUAUUGCCAACUCGUUAAUUGUUCCUCAAUUUAUUUAUUUGUUUUUGUCAUUACCAGCUCCAUCACAAAACUUUUUCAAGAUUUAUGAGCGGAGGGUCUUCGAUUUUGUCUGGAACGGCAAACCAGAAAAGAUUAAAAGAAAGGUUUUGUACAAAGAGUAUGAAUAUGGGGGCCUGAAACUUCUCAACCUUGAAGCUAUGUGUCUGUCUUUAAAAGCAUCAAUUGUUCCAAAGAUGUAUUUAAACAUUGAGUGGUACACAAAUGUCCUGUUGGACAAAAAACAUGUACUGUAUCAAAAGAAAUUGUAUCCUUUUUUACAAGUGAUCCCCUCCCAGAGAGUCUGCUGGGAAACAUGGCGGGGUUCAUAAAGGAAACAAUUCACUCAUAG
Molecule: long non-coding RNA, 2780 nt
Organism: Entelurus aequoreus (snake pipefish)
Lineage: Eukaryota; Metazoa; Chordata; Actinopteri; Syngnathiformes; Syngnathidae
Exons: 3
Source: RefSeq, a predicted model, not a curated record